GGAUGUGAGGGCAACCUGGCUGUGACAUCUGUCAUCACAUUGAUCACCAGGAUUGAUUCGGGAAUCUGGCUGGCUAGGCGGUGUCCCCUUCCUCCCUCACCUCUCCCUGUGGGUCCCUCCUGAAACUGUGUGCUCGAUGGAACUUGCACAAAACAGGAAGACCCGUCUUCAGUCAAGGUUACAGGAGUAGCUGCAUUCUGAACCUCUCAACAAGCUCUCAAGGUCCAUUUGUAGGAGAAUGCAGGCUCGUUAAACUUCCAAGAUUCCAGACACAUCCAAAUGAGACACUGCAUGUGGCAGUCUGCCCUUU
RNAcentral lists this small nuclear RNA (310 nucleotides) under Ailuropoda melanoleuca (giant panda). RNAcentral describes it as "7SK RNA". It matches the Rfam family "7SK RNA". Rfam says of the family: 7SK was discovered as an abundant small nuclear RNA in the mid-70s but a possible function has only recently been suggested. Two independent studies have found that 7SK RNA binds the CDK9/cyclin T complex (known as elongation factor P-TEFb). Lineage: Eukaryota; Metazoa; Chordata; Mammalia; Carnivora; Ursidae. The record is from Rfam by way of RNAcentral.